AACGAAAAGCUGACAAACGGGAUGUUCUUGCUCCGGUUCUAAACUUAGAAACAGGCAUUGGGGAUGCUUCCAGUUCCUCAGCUUUAGGACGAGAAGCUGGCAAACGGGAUCUUCUUACAUUCUCAGGUUUAAUCUGUGAAGAUGGCACAGGGGAUGCUUCUAAUUCCUCAGCUUUUGAACGAGAAGCUGGUAAACGGGAUUUUCUUACAUCCUCGGAUUUAACCUGUGAAGCUGGUUUAGGGGAUGCUUCAAAUUGCUCAGCUUUGGAAUAAGAAACUGGUAAAUGAGAUGCUCUUACUUCCUCAGAUUCAAACUGAGAAGCUGGCAUAGGAGAUGCUUCUAACUUCUCAACAUGAGAAGCUGGUAAAUGGGUUGUUUUAACUUCCUCAGAUUUAAACUUAGAAUCUGGCUUAUUGGAUGCUUCUAAUUCCUCAACUUCAUAUUGAGAAGCUGGCAAAGUACAUGCAUUUGCUUCCUCGAUUCCAGAAUGAGAUGGAGGCAAAGGGCGUGUUGCUUCCUCUGCUUUAAAACGAGAAGCUGUCGAAGGGGUUGUUUCUGGUUCCUCAUUUCUUUUUUUAAUAAAGGUUUCUGGUUCCUCAUCUUUACAACAGGAAGGUGCCAAAGGGGAUAUUUCUACUUCCUCAGUUUUAGACUGAGACACCACAUCUAUCUUAAGGAUAUCAUCCAUGUUCAACCCUUCUCUUUUUUCAAACCUCUCAACCAAACUGCGUGUCCUUCCUCGGACUACUGCCACU
This 755-nucleotide long non-coding RNA is filed under the name Nicotiana tabacum (common tobacco). RNAcentral's name for it is "long non-coding RNA (NTAB_LNC007470)". Lineage: Eukaryota; Viridiplantae; Streptophyta; Magnoliopsida; Solanales; Solanaceae. The record is from RNAcentral.